This 70-nucleotide small nucleolar RNA is filed under the name Oryza sativa Indica Group (long-grained rice). RNAcentral's name for it is "Small nucleolar RNA snoR97". It matches the Rfam family "Small nucleolar RNA snoR97", at positions 35 to 106 of the family's 106-position model. Lineage: Eukaryota; Viridiplantae; Streptophyta; Magnoliopsida; Poales; Poaceae. The record is from Rfam by way of RNAcentral.
AGAUUGUGUGUUGACAUCAGCUUCGUCUCUAUUAACCGUGGGAUGGGAGUUAAAUGACAGCACGAAAUUC